UCCCUGGUAGCUCAGAUGGUAAAGCGUCUGCCUACAAUGCGGGAGACCCGGGUUCGAUCCCUGGGUCGGGAA
RNAcentral lists this transfer RNA (72 nucleotides) under Bos indicus (zebu cattle). It matches the Rfam family "tRNA". From Rfam's summary of the family: Transfer RNA (tRNA) molecules are approximately 80 nucleotides in length. Their secondary structure includes four short double-helical elements and three loops (D, anti-codon, and T loops). The record is from Rfam by way of RNAcentral. Lineage: Eukaryota; Metazoa; Chordata; Mammalia; Artiodactyla; Bovidae. RNAcentral also lists the same sequence under 4 other names.